Taeniopygia guttata (zebra finch) is the source of this 660-nucleotide non-coding RNA. The record is from RefSeq and is a predicted model, not a curated record. Lineage: Eukaryota; Metazoa; Chordata; Aves; Passeriformes; Estrildidae.
GAUAUUUUCUCCACAGACGACCCUCGGCUUUCCCGCAGCAGUUUCGGUGCCUGUUUCCCGUGCCUGGAUCGCUUCUCUCUGGACUCUGGACUUGGAACACAAACUCUGUGUCAGUUUGGUGCUACUUGGGAGUUACUUGUCUUCGUUUUGAGAGAUUGCACCAGCUUUGUUCCCCGAGUUGCUCACUGAAGGAAGAACCUCAGAAAGGAUGGACAAAACCUUUUAUGGGAUCACAUACAAAAACCUUUUUUCACUUGUGCACAUAUCUUUAACUACACAGAUUUCUUAUUUUCACAUUGUUGCUCUAUGUGAAGAGGUUUUGUGGAGGGUGUUGUUUAAUACGGAACACACUCAAGUAUUUUGGUGAUGAGACAUUGUGCAUUUCAAUUAGGAGAAUAAAAGGAGAAAAUAUGAGUAGUCUUUCUUCCUGGAAAAUAAAAUAAUGGCAAUGGAGGAUGUGAUUAACCACUUCAACACAUCAUGAAGGGAGACUAAAAGUAUUCAUGAAAUUGGGUCAAAUUUAUUAGUUUAUGAAAAAGCAUUCAGAAAGCAAAUAUAUUUGGGUAAGACUAGCCAUUUCAUUACAGCACUUGCAGAACAAAACUAUCAAUGUUCAAAUUUAACUAACUAAAAUAAAGACUAAAUAAAUUGAAUACAAAA